ACGGGUGAGUAAUACAUCGGUACGUAUCCUGGAGUGGGGGAUAGCCCGGCGAAAGCCGGAUUAAUACCGCAUACGCUCUGAGGAGGAAAGCGGGGGACCUUCGGGCCUCGCGCUCAAGGGGCGGCCGAUGGCGGAUUAGGUAGUUGGUGGGGUAAAGGCCUACCAAGCCGACGGUCCGUAGCUGGUCUGAGAGGACGACCAGCCACACUGGGACUGAGACACGGCCCAGACUCCUACGGGAGGCAGCAGUGGGGAAUUUUGGACAAUGGGGGCAACCCUGAUCCAGCAAUGCCGCGUGUGUGAAGAAGGCCUUCGGGUUGUAAAGCACUUUUGUCCGGAAAGAAAUCAUCGGGGCCAAUACCCCUGGUGGAUGACGGUACCGGAAGAAUAAGCACCGGCUAACUACGUGCCAGCAGCCGCGGUAAUACGUAGGGUGCGAGCGUUAAUCGGAAUUACUGGGCGUAAAGCGUGCGCAGGCGGUGCUGUAAGACCGAUGUGAAAUCCCCGGGCUUAACCUGGGAACUGCAUUGGUGACUGCAGCGCUGGAGUAUGGCAGAGGGGGGUGGAAUUCCACGU
This 576-nucleotide ribosomal RNA is filed under the name uncultured bacterium. Its description in RNAcentral is "bacterial SSU rRNA". It matches the Rfam family "Bacterial small subunit ribosomal RNA", at positions 102 to 674 of the family's 1533-position model. The record is from RNAcentral.